GGGGAUUUAGCUCAUUGGUAGAGCACUUGCCUAGCAAAUGCAAGGCCCUGGGUUCAGUCCCCA
RNAcentral lists this transfer RNA (63 nucleotides) under Rattus norvegicus (Norway rat). It matches the Rfam family "tRNA". Rfam says of the family: Transfer RNA (tRNA) molecules are approximately 80 nucleotides in length. Lineage: Eukaryota; Metazoa; Chordata; Mammalia; Rodentia; Muridae. The record is from Rfam by way of RNAcentral.